GCCUGGGUGGCUCAGUCAGUUGGGCAUCUGACUUCAGUUCAGGUCAUGAUCUCUCACGGUUCAUGGGUUCAAGCCCCGCAUCAGGCU
Molecule: non-coding RNA, 87 nt
Organism: Felis catus (domestic cat)
Lineage: Eukaryota; Metazoa; Chordata; Mammalia; Carnivora; Felidae
Source: Rfam